This 913-nucleotide small RNA is filed under the name Pan troglodytes (chimpanzee). Its description in RNAcentral is "retained intron". Lineage: Eukaryota; Metazoa; Chordata; Mammalia; Primates; Hominidae. The record is from RNAcentral.
UAAUGCGAAAUGAGCUCCAAUACUCGUUCUCCUCCUCACCCUUUUAAUUGCACUAGGGAAUCGUGUAUAUAAACCAUUUAUUAACUUCUUAACUACUGUUAUUAUAGAGUACAAUCCCUGACAUCACACACUGCAGAGAUGGAUAACCAAGGAGUAAUCUACUCAGACCUGAAUCUGCCCCCAAACCCAAAAAGGCAGCAACGAAAACCUAAAGGCAAUAAAAGCUCCAUUUUAGCAACUGAACAGGAAAUAACCUAUGCGGAAUUAAACCUUCAAAAAGCUUCUCAGGAUUUUCAAGAGAAUGACAAAACCUAUCACUGCAAAGAUUUACCAUCAGCUCCAGAGAAGCUCAUUGUUGGGAUCCUGGGAAUUAUCUGUCUUAUCUUAAUGGCCUCUGUGGUAACGAUAGUUGUUAUUCCCUGUAAGUCUAUUUUCGAAGAUUACAAGGGGAAUUUUCACGUUAAUGAUUGAAUGUGCCUCUAAACAAUUUCAUAUUUUCAGGGAAUAGAGUUCUCAUUGUAAUGUAUAUAUUUGGACUAAAUGUGGAAUGAUUAUUCUGAAUUUGUCAAAGAAUAAAUGAAAGAAUAAUUGUUGAAAGUAUUCGCUUCUGAUGCAAUCGUAUGUAUAUAUUUGGAUUUCAUAACUCAAAAAUAUGUUCUAGGAGUCUGAAAAACCUUACUGAGAAAUAGAAAUUAAUUUUUGAAAGUAGUUAAAUCAAGAAUUAUAAGAACUAUAUGAGAUGGUGAAAUUUGGUUCUUUAGAUCUAUGAAAUACUUUUCCAAAAAACCACCAUUACUUUAUCAAAUUUUUCUUAAAAUCAAUUUUAUUCCAUAUUAUUCUAACUCUAAAUAAUACAAAAAAUUCAAACAAAAACUUAAAAUUAUUAUGAUUGAUUUAGAUGCUAAUUUUUUUA